GGGCCCGUAGUCUAGUGGUAAGGUACCUGCACACUAAGCGGGAGAUGCAAGUUUGAUUCUUGCCAGGCCUA
Molecule: transfer RNA, 71 nt
Filed under: Pyrenophora tritici-repentis Pt-1C-BFP
Lineage: Eukaryota; Fungi; Ascomycota; Dothideomycetes; Pleosporales; Pleosporaceae
Description: tRNA-Ser (ACT) (tRNA-Ser-ACT-1-1)
Rfam family: tRNA
About the family: Transfer RNA (tRNA) molecules are approximately 80 nucleotides in length.
Source: RNAcentral